Non-coding RNA from Brachypodium distachyon (stiff brome), 125 nucleotides. NCBI's taxonomy places the organism in Eukaryota, Viridiplantae, Streptophyta, Magnoliopsida, Poales, Poaceae. The record is from Rfam.
UAUGUACUCCCUCCGUCUCGUAUUAAGUGACUCAAAUUUGUCUUAAUAUGGAUGUAUCUAUACCAAAAAAACGUCUACAUACAUGUAAUAUUUCGUCACUUAAUAUGGGACGGAAGGAGUACCAG